Molecule: long non-coding RNA, 430 nt
Organism: Solanum tuberosum (potato)
Lineage: Eukaryota; Viridiplantae; Streptophyta; Magnoliopsida; Solanales; Solanaceae
Exons: 2
Source: RefSeq, a predicted model, not a curated record
GAGAAAUACGCUUAGGGCUUGGAGAAGAGAGAAAAGAAGAAAGAAAGGGAGAAAAGCCAAGAUUUCGCCAAGAACAUCAAGCUUUUGGAGUGGAAUUCGUCUGGGGCAAUCCCUAUUAAGGUUGUGACUAUUUGAAUACUUACAAUUCAGCCCUUAUUAUUCUGACUCCGUUCUUAUAAGGGCUAAUGUGAAACUUUUAGGCACGUACCUGAGUUGAUGAGAUCCAAGAAAUGAGUAACAAUUUGUAAAAAUAUAAUAUUCCAAGAAGCUUCUUUGAGCUUAAAAAUAAAAAUUGGUUUGUAAUCUUAUUCCGAAUUCUGAUACAUAUGUUGUAAUCUUUCCGACUUUUAUGGUUUGAAUUGGAAUUUUGUUGAACUUGCUUUGUAUUGAUAUACCUUUUACAUUGAUAAAUAAAUUGUAUUCUCGAGUA